RNAcentral lists this ribosomal RNA (497 nucleotides) under uncultured bacterium. Its description in RNAcentral is "partial 16S ribosomal RNA". It matches the Rfam family "Bacterial small subunit ribosomal RNA", at positions 28 to 507 of the family's 1533-position model. The record is from RNAcentral.
GAUGAACGCUGGCGGCGUGCCUAAUACAUGCAAGUCGAGCGAACGGACGAGAAGCUUGCUUCUCUGAUGUUAGCGGCGGACGGGUGAGUAACACGUGGAUAACCUACCUAUAAGACUGGGAUAACUUCGGGAAACCGGAGCUAAUACCGGAUGAUAUUUUGAACCGCAUGGUUCAAAAGUGAAAGACGGUCUUGCUGUCACUUAUAGAUUGAUCCGCGCUGCAUUAGCUAGUUGGUAAGGUAACGGCUUACCAAGGCAACGAUGCAUAGCCGACCUGAGGGGGUGGUCGGCCACACGGGAACUGAGAAACGGUCCAGACUCCGAGGGGAGGAAGCAGUAGGGAAUCUUCCGCAAGGGGCGAAAGCCUGACGGAGCACCGCGGCGUGAGUGAUGAAGGUCUUCGGAUCGUAAAACUCUGUUAUUAGGGAAGAACAUAUGUGUAAGUAACUGUGCACAUCUUGACGGUACCUAAUCAGAAAGCCACGGCUAACUACGUG